RNAcentral lists this unclassified non-coding RNA (642 nucleotides) under Hevea brasiliensis (rubber tree). The record is from RNAcentral. Lineage: Eukaryota; Viridiplantae; Streptophyta; Magnoliopsida; Malpighiales; Euphorbiaceae.
CUCAAAAUCAUUACAACACUUCAUUAGAUGAUAUUUCAAAAAUCAAAAUAGAAGCAAUUCUAUACAAUUUUAUUUUUCUAUCUAUUAGAUAACCAUAGAGAUAAAUUAGUGAAAAUGAAUUGAACUAAAACCAACAAAUCUAUAUAAAUUCUUCUGAUGUUCUUAUUAAUAAAGAACUAGAACAGCAAUACAUAAACUGAAAAUACCCAAAUGAAAAUCUCAAAUAAAAAUGAAACAGAUGAUAAAGCCACAAACAGCCAACUACCCACUCGUAACUGAUGCUUGUAAGGCUGAAGUACAAGAUAAAGCAGCCUCAGUAGCACUGUCACCAUCACCAUCUCCAUUAUCAGCAGCAGAAGCAGAGGAAACAGUGGCUUUAUCUUCUUCAGAGGGUGUACUGUUGCCGCCUUCUUUGGCUUUGAAGAAACAAUUAUAGUGGUCUUUUACACCAGAAAACGCACGAAUAUACUGGUGAACUAAAACUCAGGUGGAGUUUACAAUUGGUAAUGGACUAAAUAAAAAAAAUGGAUGAGUAAAAGCUGAGGAAGCAGGAAGCCCACAGGAAGAAACCAAUAACAGUGCCCAUAUGUGAUAUUUAUGCAGAUCUAGUCUUCAGAUAUUUGUAAGUGAGCUAUAGAUAAG